GGGACUGAAAGGUUUCUACAUAUUGAAUAGAUAAAUAAUUGAUAAUACUAAAAUUUAAAUGCAAAACAUAAUAUUGUAAUUUUUUCUAAUAAAAAAAUUUUUGUUUAAUUUAUUAGAAUAUUAAAUAGUAAUUAUAUAUAUUAUUUGAUAUAUGAUUUAAUAUAUGCUCUUGAAAUAUUUUGAAUGUUUUAAGAAAAGUAUUUUUGAUUUGAUGUGUAAUAUUAUUAUUCUUUAUAUCUUUAUGAAAAUUAUUUAAUCUUAUAAAUUUUUUUUAUAGAAAAUAAAGUGUCAAUUAUUUAAUAUCAAUAUGGACGUGGGUUCAAUUCCCUCCAGUUCCA
RNAcentral lists this non-coding RNA (338 nucleotides) under Dipterocladia arabiensis. Lineage: Eukaryota; Rhodophyta; Florideophyceae; Ceramiales; Dasyaceae. The record is from RNAcentral.